Molecule: transfer RNA, 71 nt
Organism: Loxodonta africana (African savanna elephant)
Lineage: Eukaryota; Metazoa; Chordata; Mammalia; Proboscidea; Elephantidae
Rfam family: tRNA
About the family: Transfer RNA (tRNA) molecules are approximately 80 nucleotides in length.
Source: Rfam
GCCCUGGUGGCAUAGUGGUUAAGCAUUUGGCUGCUAACCAAAAGGCUGGCCGUUUGAACCCACCAGUGGCU